RNAcentral lists this long non-coding RNA (1145 nucleotides) under Salvator merianae (Argentine black and white tegu). RNAcentral's name for it is "lncRNA (ENSSMRG00000011966.1)". Lineage: Eukaryota; Metazoa; Chordata; Lepidosauria; Squamata; Teiidae. The record is from RNAcentral.
AAAGCAAUGAAAAACUACAGCUGGAGAGGCUUUGCAGAGAAAAGCAAANACAACUCAUAUUUCCACACUCUAAAUAUCUGCCUACCCAUUGUUGGGUUUGGACAUUGCAACUCUGGCAUGGCAANUGCACGCAUGCCAGAUGGUGCCAANGGAGAAACAGNUUAUUCANUCUGCAUGGAGCCUUGUCAACACCCCUCCGUCCAGCCCUGUGAGNGCAGUGUUUAUACCACGUGUUCCAGCCAAGACCUAAAGGAGAAAGUCACCUGUCCUGGAUGCAGCGGAAUCUUUCCAGAAAAUAAGGCUGCCUCUAUCGAUCCUCGUGUGGAAACAGAAAAGGCAGCCCAGCAGACAAACAGGGCUCAGACUUUGUGUGAGAAACACAGGGAAAGCUUAAAUCUCUUCUGUGAAGAGGGUCAACCACCUCUUCAUCCCAUCUACCAAGAAUCCUGGGACCACAAGUCACAGACAGUGAUCCCCAGGAACCAGCCAGCAUGGACAGAAGGCCCGGGAACCAGAAGCCCCUUGAACGGGUGGGAAGAAAGUCUGCCAAAAUCAGAGCCCACGAGUCCUGCCGUUGUAGGGCCCUCCAACAUAAAAACUGACUUCACAGGGAAAGGAGAGGUGCCUGAUGGGAAUGAGGACGACAAUAAAGAGAAACGCCUACUGAUUGAGCAGUGGGUUGACUUCAACUUGGAAGAAAACAAGGAAAAAGACAUUCAUUCCAACUCCAGGAAUCAAAAUUCCAUCACNUGGAUUUUACUGAUAUUGUUCAUCAUCCAGAUUGUGGGUUUGGUAACAACCAUCUUUGUUUUCACAAAGGCUAAACCCAGUCUUCCAGUUGNGGCCANGGCCACCUCAUGCUGCCCACAUGGNUGGAUUAUGAACCAAGGAAACUGCUAUCACAUGGUGGAUAAAGAAAGGUCUUGGGAAGAAGGCCAGAUCGACUGUUCCUCUCUUGGUGCUACCUUGGCNGAGAUCAAUAACUUAGAAAAACUGAAUGUUGCAAUUUAUGACAAAGGCCCUCUCAACCACUGGAUCGGGCUCUUCAGAGGUACAACAGACGGCUGGAGAUGGCCGAAUGGAUCUGUCUUCAACAACCUGUGAGUUCUUUACCUUCCUCACUGAUGNGUNCUCCUCUGUUGUCA